This 858-nucleotide ribosomal RNA is filed under the name uncultured archaeon. RNAcentral describes it as "bacterial SSU rRNA". It matches the Rfam family "Archaeal small subunit ribosomal RNA", at positions 1 to 865 of the family's 1478-position model. The record is from RNAcentral.
UCCGGUUGAUCCUGCCGGAGGCUACUGCUAUCGGGGUCCGACUAAGCCAUGCGAGUUGAGAGGGGUAAGCCCUCGGCAUAUUGCUCAGUAACACGCGGAUAACCUGCCCUUGGGUUCGGGAUAACCCCGGGAAACUGGGACUAAUACCGGAUAGAUCAAAGAAACUGGAAUGUUCUCUGGUCUAAAACUCUGGUGCCCAAGGAUGGGUCUGCGGCCUAUCAGGUAGUAGUGGGUGUAACGUACCUACUAGCCUACGACGGGUAAGGGUUGUGAGAGCAAGAGCCCUGAGAUGGAUUCUGAGACAUGAAUCCAGGCCCUACGGGGUGCAGCAGGCGCGAAAACUUUACACUGCGGGAAACCGCGAUAAGGGGACCCCGAGUGCCAGCACCUAGUGCUGGCUGUCCAGCUGUCCAAAUAACAGUUGUUAGCAAGGGCCGGGCAAGACCGGUGCCAGCCGCCGCGGUAACACCGGCGGCCCGAGUGGUAGCCGUUAUUAUUGGGUUUAAAGGGUCCGUAGCCGGCCUAUUAAGUCUCUUGGGAAAUCUGGCGACUCAAUCGUCAGGCGUCCAAGAGAUACUGGUAGGCUUGGGACCGGGAGAGGUGGGAGGUACUCCAGGGGUAGGGGUGAAAUCUCGUAAUCCUUGGGGGACCACCGAUGGCGAAGGCAUCCCACCAGAACGGGUCCGACGGUGAGGGACGAAAGCUGGGGGCACGAACCGGAUUAGAUACCCGGGUAGUCCCAGCCGUAAACGAUGCUCGCUAGGUGUCAGGUGCGGUGCGACCGCAUCUGGUGCCGCAGUGAAAACUUGAAGCGAGUCACCUGGGAAGUACGGUCGCAAGGCUGAAACUUAAAGGAAU